GACGAACGCUGGCGGCGUGCUUAACACAUGCAAGUCGAACGGAAAGGCCCUGCUUUUGUGGGGUGCUCGAGUGGCGAACGGGUGAGUAACACGUGAGUAACCUUCCCUUGACUUUGGGAUAACUUCAGGAAACUGGUGCUAAUACCGGAUAGGAGCUCCUGCUGCAUGGUGGGGGUUGGAAAGUUUCGGCGGUUGGGGAUGGACUCGCGGCUUAUCAGCUUGUUGGUGGGGUAGUGGCUUACCAAGGCUUUGACGGGUAGCCGGCCUGAGAGGGUGACCGGCCACAUUGGGACUGAGAUACGGCCCAGAGUCCUACGGGAGGCAGCAGUGGGGAAUAUUGCACAAUGGGCGGAAGCCUGAUGCAGCAACGCCGCGUGCGGGAUGACGGCCUUAGGGUUGUAAACCGCUUUCGCCUGUGACGAAGCGUGAGUGACGGUAAUGGGUAAAGAAGCACCGGCUAACUACGUG
This 468-nucleotide ribosomal RNA is filed under the name uncultured bacterium. RNAcentral describes it as "partial 16S ribosomal RNA". It matches the Rfam family "Bacterial small subunit ribosomal RNA", at positions 28 to 507 of the family's 1533-position model. The record is from RNAcentral.